This 276-nucleotide unclassified non-coding RNA is filed under the name plant metagenome. RNAcentral describes it as "partial contains small subunit ribosomal RNA and internal transcribed spacer 1". The stretch from base 1 to 46 matches the Rfam family "Eukaryotic small subunit ribosomal RNA", at positions 1786 to 1831 of the family's 1831-position model. The record is from RNAcentral.
AAGUCGUAACAAGGUUUCCGUAGGUGAACCUGCGGAAGGAUCAUUAUUGAAUAAACUUGAUCAGGUUGUUGCUGGCUCCCCUGAGCAUGUGCACACUUGUCAUCUUUACUUUUCCCCCAAUGUGCACAUAUUGUAGGCCUGGAACUCUUUUGAUUAUCUUGUAUAGAUUGAGGACUGCUGUGCUUCAGCCUGCUUUUCCUUGUGUUUUCAGGUCUAUGUUUACCUUCACAACCUCUGAAUAUGUUUAGAAUGUUGAAAUAUAAUAUAUAUAUACAA